AGUAAAUAGAUACCCGGGUAGUCCACGCCGUAAACGAUGAGUACUAGGUGUAGGAGGUAUCGACUCCUUCUGUGCCGCAGUUAAACACAAUAAGUACUCCGCCUGGGAAGUACGGUCGCAAGAUUAAAACUCAAAGGAAUUGACGGGGGCCCGCACAAGCAGCGGAGCAUGUGGUUUAAAAUUCGAAGCAACGCGAAGAACCAUACCUAGACUUGACAUCUCCUGAAUAGUGUAGAGAUACAUGAAGCCCUUCGGGGCAGGAAGACAGGUGGUGCAUGGUUGUCGUCAGCUCGUGUCGUGAGAUGUUGGGUUAAGUCCCGCAACGAGCGCAACCCUUAUUACUAGUUAGCUACCAUUAAGUUGAGCACUCUAGUGAGACUGCCCGGGGUUAACCCGGGGAGGAAGGCGGGGAGUGACGUCAAACUCAUCAUG
Molecule: ribosomal RNA, 432 nt
Filed under: uncultured bacterium
Lineage: Bacteria
Description: bacterial SSU rRNA
Rfam family: Bacterial small subunit ribosomal RNA
Source: RNAcentral